UGUUGUUGUUGUUUUUGCUUCUCUCCCCACAGCCCAAAUGAGACAGCUUUGAACUUCCUGAAACACUUUUAGAAGAACAAGCCUUCUGUAUCCUAUAAGAAGGAAAAGACAGUAGAAUUUGUUUCCAGAUUUUAUCUAACAUAAGAAGGCCCUCAGGGAACUGCGGCAUAAUUAGAAUGAUGCGGCCCCAGCAGGCAGAACAGAGGGCAGAAGCUCCCACACCAGCCCUCCCCUUCUUGUCACAUGGCUCCUUGUCACGUGGCACCAGGCCCUCCAGAACCCCAGCGUCGGAAGGUGUCCCUCUCAGCAUGGAAGAUUUUCCAUCACGAUGGAGCAGCCGG
This 341-nucleotide long non-coding RNA is filed under the name Gorilla gorilla gorilla (western lowland gorilla). Its description in RNAcentral is "lncRNA (ENSGGOG00000044520.1)". The record is from RNAcentral. Lineage: Eukaryota; Metazoa; Chordata; Mammalia; Primates; Hominidae.